This 301-nucleotide ribosomal RNA is filed under the name uncultured bacterium. Its description in RNAcentral is "partial 16S ribosomal RNA". It matches the Rfam family "Bacterial small subunit ribosomal RNA", at positions 509 to 809 of the family's 1533-position model. The record is from RNAcentral.
CAGCCGCCGCGGUAAUACGGAGGGUGCAAGCGUUAUCCGGAUUUAUUGGGUUUAAAGGGUCCGUAGGCGGACUUAUAAGUCAGUGGUGAAAGCCUGUCGCUUAACGAUAGAACUGCCAUUGAUACUGUAAGUCUUGAGUAUAUUUGAGGUAGCUGGAAUAAGUAGUGUAGCGGUGAAAUGCAUAGAUAUUACUUAGAACACCAAUUGCGAAGGCAGGUUACCAAGAUAUAACUGACGCUGAGGGACGAAAGCGUGGGUAGCGAACAGGAUUAGAUACCCGUGUAGUCCCUGUCUCUUAUAU